CCUGAUCUGAUUCUGCUACCGCAGAAUCAAAGAGUUAACAAGUCUUUUUCUAGCCGAAAUGACAUUGGAAAAGUCUACCCUAGAUGGUGAUAGUCCAGUAGGCGAAAGGGAAAGACCUCUUUUUUCAGGCACCCGAGUAUCAUGGGAUAAGGGAAGCCCUGUGAGAAUUUAGGAGGACCACCUCCUAAGGCUAAAUACUAACUGGUGACCGAUAGUGAACUAGUACCGUGAGGGAAAGGUGAAAAGUACCCCGGGAGGGGAGUGAAAUAGUACCUGAAACCGUAUACCUACAAGCAGUGGGAGCACUAUUUUUUAAGAUUUAUCUUAGGAAAGUGUGACCGCGUGCCUUUUGUAGAAUGAGCCGGCGAGUUACGAUAUCUAGCUAGGUUAAGCAGCAGCUGCUGCGGAGCCGCAGCGAAAGCGAGUCUUAAAUAGGGCGAUUUUAGUUAGGUGGCGUAGACCCGAAACCGAGUGAUCUAACCAUGGCCAGGGUGAAGCAGGUCUGAUCGCCUGUGAAGGCCCGAACCCACUUAUGUUGAAAAAUGAGGGGAUGAGCUGUGGUUAGGGGUGAAAGACCAAUCAAACUCGGAGAUAGCUGGUUCUCCUCGAAAUAGCUUUAGGGCUAGCCUCAAAUGUUUGCCUAUGGAGGUAGAGCACUGAAUGGACUAAGGGCCCCACCAGGUUACUGAACCCAAUCAAACUCCGAAUGCCAUAGGUUUAUAGUUUGGGAGUCAGACUGCGGGGGAUAAGCUUCGUAGUCGAAAGGGAAACAGCCC
RNAcentral lists this ribosomal RNA (776 nucleotides) under marine sediment metagenome. RNAcentral describes it as "LSU rRNA". It matches the Rfam family "Bacterial large subunit ribosomal RNA", at positions 305 to 1028 of the family's 2925-position model. The record is from RNAcentral.